AGUGAACGCUGGCGGUAGGCCUAACACAUGCAAGUCGAACGGCAGCACAGUAAGAGCUUGCUCUUACGGGUGGCGAGUGGCGGACGGUUGAGGAAUACAUCGGAAUCUACUUUUUCGUGGGGGAUAACGUAGGGAAACUUACGCUAAUACCGCAUACGACCUACGGGUGAAAGCAGGGGAUCUUCGGACCUUGCGCGAUUGAAUGAGCCGAUGUCGGAUUAGCUAGUUGGCGGGGUAAAGGCCCACCAAGGCGACGAUCCGUAGCUGGUCUGAGAGGAUGAUCAGCCACACUGGAACUGAGACACGGUCCAGACUCUUACGGGAGGAAGCAGUGGGGAAUAUUGGACAAUGGGCGCAAGCCUGAUCCAGCCAUACCGCGUGGGUGAAGAAGGCCUUCGGGUUGUAAAGCCCUUUUGUUGGGAAAGAAAAGCAGCAGGUUAAUACCCCGCUGUUAUGACGGUACCCAAAGAAUAAGCACCGGCUAACUUCGUG
This 492-nucleotide ribosomal RNA is filed under the name uncultured bacterium. RNAcentral describes it as "partial 16S ribosomal RNA". It matches the Rfam family "Bacterial small subunit ribosomal RNA", at positions 29 to 507 of the family's 1533-position model. The record is from RNAcentral.